This 395-nucleotide ribosomal RNA is filed under the name uncultured bacterium. RNAcentral describes it as "bacterial SSU rRNA". It matches the Rfam family "Bacterial small subunit ribosomal RNA", at positions 505 to 898 of the family's 1533-position model. The record is from RNAcentral.
GUGUCAGCAGCCGCGGUAAUACGUAGGGGGCGAGCGUUGUCCGAAGUUACUGGGCGUAAAGCGCGCGUAGGCGGCCUUUUAAGUGACUGGUGAAAUCCCCGGGCUCAACUCGGGAGUGUCUGGUCAUACUGGGAGGCUCGAGUGUGGGAGAGGAGAGCGGAACUCCUGGUGUAGCGGUGAUAUGCGUAGAGAUCAGGAAGAACACCCGUGGCGAAGGCGGCUCUCUGGACCACAACUGACGCUGAGGUGCGAAAGCCAGGGGAGCGAACGGGAUUAGAUACCCCGGUAGUCCUGGCCCUAAACGAUGGAUACUAGGUGUGGGGGGUAUCGACCCCUCCCGCGCCGCAGCUAACGCAAUAAGUAUCCCGCCUGGGGAGUACGGCCGCAAGGUUGAA